CUCCAGAGGAAGUCGCGCGCGUUUUCCGUCCGGCCUUUCCCGGCGGCCGGAGAUUACCGAGCAGCUCGCGGAAAUUGCCGAGGGCGCCGCCAUAUUUUGCUGAAGGGGGCCUCCGAGGGCAGUUGUGUUUUGAGGUGGAGGAGCCUCCCCGGCUGAGGAGGGUUUUUCCUAAAAUUUAUUUUCAGCACCAUGCUGCGACUCCCUGCUAUCCACAAGACUUUAGUUGGUGUUACCCGAACUGCUACGGGCUGUGUGCGCACCACCUCUACAGCAACUAGCAACCUGAUAGAAGUUUUUGUUGAUGGUCAUCCUAUUAUGGUACCUCCAGGAACCACAGUACUUCAGGCCUGUGAAAAGGUUGGAAUGCAAAUCCCUCGGUUUUGCUAUCACGACAGAUUGUCUGUGGCUGGAAAUUGCAGGAUGUGUCUUGUGGAGAUAGAGAAAGCCCCCAAGCCUGUUGCUGCUUGUGCCAUGCCAGUCAUGAAGGGUUGGAACAUUCUGACAAAUUCUGAGAAGUCCAGGAAAGCAAGAGAAGGCGUAAUGGAGUUCUUGUUGGCUAACCAUCCAUUGGACUGUCCCAUCUGUGAUCAGGGAGGGGAGUGUGACCUUCAGGAUCAGUCAAUGAUGUUUGGCAGCGAUAGGAGCAGAUUUCUGGAAAGCAAACGUGCUGUUGAAGACAAGAAUAUUGGCCCUCUUGUGAAAACUAUCAUGACCCGGUGUAUACAAUGUACGCGAUGCAUCAGGUUUGCAAGUGAAAUUGCAGGGGUUGAUGAUCUAGGAACCACAGGAAGAGGAAAUGAGAUGCAAGUUGGCACUUACAUUGAAAAAAUGUUUAUGUCUGAAUUGUCAGGCAAUGUGAUUGAUAUUUGCCCAGUGGGUGCCCUUACGUCCAAGCCUUAUGCAUUUACUGCUCGACCCUGGGAAACCAGGCAUACAGAGUCUAUUGAUGUUCUUGAUGCAGUAGGAAGUAACAUCGUGGUAAACACACGAACUGGAGAAGUGAUGAGAAUUUUGCCAAGAUUACAUGAAGGUAUCAACGAGGAGUGGAUUUCUGAUAAAACAAGAUUUGCAUAUGAUGGCCUGAAACGUCAGCGACUUACUGAGCCAAUGAUAAAAAAUAAAGAAGGGCUGUUCACUUACGUAUCUUGGGAAGAAGCCUUGAGCUGUGUAGCAAGUGCAUUUCAAGGCAGUCAAGGUAACGAGGUAGCUGCAAUUGCAGGAGGACUGGUGGAUGCAGAAGCGCUAGUAUCGCUCAAAGACUUGCUGAAUAGAAUGAACUCGGAUAAUAUAUGCACUGAAGAGGCUUUCCCUGCUGCAGGAGCUGGAAUAGAUCUGCGAUCUAACUACUUACUUAAUACCAAGAUUGCAGGAGUGGAAGAGGCAGAUUUCCUACUUCUGGUUGGCACCAAUCCACGCUUUGAGGCACCAUUAUUUAAUGCAAGGAUUAGAAAAAGCUGGCUACAAAAUGAGCUAAAAGUGGCUCUUGUUGGCAGCCCAGUUGAUUUGACUUACAAUUAUGAUCAUCUGGGAGAUUCCCCACAGAUACUGUUAGACAUUGCUUCAGAGAAACAUCCAUUCAGCAAGGUCCUGAGCCAGGCUAAAAAGCCAAUGGUGGUGGUGGGCAGUGCUGCGCUGCAACGUGGGGAUGGAGCAGCUAUUCAUUCAGCCGUUUCUACUAUUGCACAAAAUAUUAGGGCAAAAAGUGGAGUAGAUGCUGACUGGAAAAUUAUGAACAUUCUUCAUAGAGUGGCAAGCCAAGUAGCUGCUCUUGACCUAGGUUACAAACCAGGAGUGGAUGGAAUCAGGAAGAACCCUCCGAAAGUGCUGUAUCUCUUAGGGGCUGAUGUAGGCUGUAUUACCCGGCAAGAUUUGCCUAAGAAUUGCCUUAUCGUCUAUCAGGGUCACCAUGGUGAUACUGGAGCUUCUAUGGCUGAUGUAAUUCUUCCAGGAGCAGCUUAUACAGAAAAGGCUGCAACCUAUGUAAAUACCGAAGGCAGAGCUCAGCAAACCAGAGUAGCAGUGACACCACCUGGCAUGGCAAGAGAGGACUGGAAAAUUAUUAGAGCAAUCUCUGAGCUGGCUGGUGUGACCCUCCCUUAUGACAACCUUGAUCAAGUGAGGAGGAGAUUAGAAGAAGUGUCCCCUAACUUGGUCCGAUACGAUGAUGUGGAAGAAGCCAACUACUUUAUUCAAGCAAAUGAGUUGUCCAAGUUAUGUUCCCUUUUACUGUACAUAUUUAUCUAGCUAUAAUAUUGUGUCGUACUGAAACAUGUAAUGUACCAUGUGACAAGUGGGUAACAACUUUCUCAAGGUGACUGCUCCAUUACACCAUUUGGCCAUAAAAACUUCAAGAUAGUUACUUUUCAUAUAAACUAUUAUUAUAUUAAAAAAUCAUUGAUCUUUCUGCCUUAAGCUUACAUAAAAAUAUCCUAGUAUUGUACAAUAACAUGCCAGGUUUAGAAGGUUUGUAUUAUAUCAUGGAAACCUUACGUAACUAUUCUGUUUUCCAUGACUUUCUCCUGGAUUUUCCUUAGAGCCGUUUAAAAAAAAAUUUUUUUUUCAAAGACUUUUUUUCUUUCUUCUAUCAUAUGAAGCAUUCCAGGAUAUAAUGAAUUUUUGUUUUGUUUUUGUGGUUCAACUUACAGAUAUCUAUUGGGAGAGAGAAAUUUGCUAAUAUUUGCCAUUCUUUCCUUAAAUUAUAGAUUGUGAAUCAGAAACUUCUUGCUGUUCCUCUUGUUCCUCCUCAGCUUACAGUUAAAGACUUUUAUAUGACAGAUCCAAUAAGUAGAGCUUCGCAGACAAUGGCAAAAUGUGUGAAAGCAGUUACACAGGGCGCCAAAGCAAUUGAAGAACCUUCCAUUUGCUAAAGAAUGAAAUCCAGAGUCCAUCAGACACUAUUGCAAUCAAUUUAUAUUUUUAAAUAAGGAACUGUUGUGUGUGGUCUUUUUUUUGUUCCUAUUUUCUUUAUGGAAACAAGUGAAAGUUGUUAAGGCCAGUUCUCUAGUAUGCAUAUGAUAAUUAUGUUCAGCACCAUUUACCAUACAAAGAUAUUAUGUAUACUGAUUGUAUACAAACAGGGUGUAAAAUUAAAAGUAUUACAUAACCAAGA
Molecule: RNA transcript, 3109 nt
Organism: Candoia aspera
Lineage: Eukaryota; Metazoa; Chordata; Lepidosauria; Squamata; Candoiidae
Gene: NDUFS1
Gene name: NADH:ubiquinone oxidoreductase core subunit S1
Exons: 18
Source: RefSeq, a predicted model, not a curated record